UACAGAGGGUGCAAGCGUUAAUCGGAUUUACUGGGCGUAAAGGGCGCGUAGGUGGUUAUUUAAGUGAGAUGUGAAAUCCCCGGGCUCAACCUGGGAACUGCAUCUUAUACUGGGUAACUGGAGUACAUUAGAGGGUAGUGGAAUUUCCGGUGUAGCGGUGAAAUGCGUAGAUAUCGGAAGGAACACCAGUGGCGAAGGCGGCUACCUGGAAUGAUACUGACACUGAGGCGCGAGAGCGUGGGGAGCAAACAG
RNAcentral lists this ribosomal RNA (252 nucleotides) under uncultured bacterium. Its description in RNAcentral is "partial 16S ribosomal RNA". It matches the Rfam family "Bacterial small subunit ribosomal RNA", at positions 524 to 775 of the family's 1533-position model. The record is from RNAcentral.